AGCAGUAGUUGCAUUGUUCAGCCUGAUCGCUUUGGUUGUCAUCGUACAUUCACAACCACUAAGUGAAGGAUCACUGAAAGCCGACCAGACCCCUAAUGCUUUCAAUGGAGAAGUAUCUUUUGACACUGUUGAUAGCUCCAAUACCAAUGAAUUAAAGAAUCCCACCCGAGUGAAAAGAUGUCUUGCAAGGCUUUUU
Molecule: long non-coding RNA, 196 nt
Organism: Pararge aegeria (speckled wood butterfly)
Lineage: Eukaryota; Metazoa; Arthropoda; Insecta; Lepidoptera; Nymphalidae
Exons: 3
Source: RefSeq, a predicted model, not a curated record